CCCUCCCCCCACCACACACACAGAGGCACGUGUGAACAAGGGAAUGCAAAUGCACAAAAUAAGUAUGUUUUGAUCAGAGUGAAAACAAAUCACGGGAAUUUUAACCAUUCCACCAUCAUUCCACCAUUCUUUUAAUUUACUCUCUGUGUUUAGUCUUCCAAAGAGGGUGGCAGGUGUGUGGUUUGGUGAGUGCCGGCUGGCGGUGGCAGCGAGGAACAGAGAACAACAACAACCCCCCCUCCCCCCCAUCGGGAUCGGUGGAGGGUUUUAAAAAUGAGUGAGCCAUUUAAAAAUGGUGUGGAACUGAGGUCGCCGCCACCCUCCCCUCACGCCGGAGUUUGGACGCUCCCUUUUCCUAACUGUGCCUGUUCCUUGCUAAUUGUUAACCGAUUCGAGAGUGCAUGUCCUUUCACUUAGAGGUGGCCUGUUUUCACCGCUCCGUCCUACUUUCCUUUUCUGGGUGCCUGAGGGGGUUGGCCCCGAGUCCAUCCCGCGUUCACUGUGUUCCGGCGGGACAACCGGGACCGUUUGUGCCAUUCGGGAGAAGUGGUGUCAGAGUAGCUGUGACCUCUCCUAGUAACAAAGGGUCGACUGCAAAUCACCAAAUGUAAAUUAUUGGGCCUCAUGGACAUCAGCAUGGAACACACCCCAAAGUAAGUAAGAAUCAUGGUAAAACAUCCAAAAGCCUGAAGUCUCACCCUUGGAACACAGGAAGGUAGAUAUUACAGAACUGAUAUCUAAUGGGACUACAGAACCACAUUCUGUAGUCCAUGCUGUCUAUGAUUUACUGAUGUCAGGUAUUUUUUGCAUAAAAUAAAAAAUUGGGAGUUAAUAAUUUUAAGUAGGUACACAAUAUCUACACUGUUAAAUUCACUCUGUAGCUUGGCCACCUUUGUUGCCAAAAUCAUUGCAAAAAAACUAGAAUUGAAAAACGGAAUUUUUGAGUACACAUUCAGAAAUACCUAUAAAGUCCCCUAUCAAGGAAUGAACAAUUGGAAAAUGAAAUACAAUAUUCACUCAAUUAAAUGUCUGUAGGGAAUAAAUGGCCUUUGGGAAACAGAGAGAACCUAGGAAAUUGAGCUGUUUGUUACAGGAAUGGACCUGGGAAUAGAAUUAUUAUCCAGAAGAAUUUCCUACAUCCCAUGUUCCUAGAUCUUUUCUACCCAAGACAAGCCCCUAACUAACUUUCUCCAUUCAGAACAUGUAACCACUAAGGAAGCAAAGAGAAGUUUCUAGCUGUAGAGAGAUGUAGUAAAUAAAUGUUUCCACUGUGUCACAGGAGACACUCCUGGAAAGGGCACCCUCGAAUCUGGUCAAUGUAAGGAAAGCUGUUCAGCAGGUAGGCCAUGGCAGUUCUCAGUGACAUCAUCAUUAGCCCCUCCCUGAAAAAUCUCUUGUAUCCUGGAGAGCCCUAGCUUCUUCUGUGAUCACAAGUGUCCUGACUGGAUCUGCCUCUCAGAUAUUCCUUCAGUACCUCUAGGGUUUACUAAUUGGCCUCUAAUUCAGAGUAAACAGCCAUUUGGAAGGGAGAACAAAGAGAAUGAAAAGAACAGAGUUGGGGAUAAAGAAGCUGGCCUUCUGUCUUGGUAUAAGAAAAGAAGAAAUACGUGGUCCAUGGGAAAGCAUAGUGAGUCCUGUGUAGGGGUUGAGUGGGUGUGCUGAAGAGAUAGCCUUGAUCUGAGCCUUUCAUUUAUGGGAAACAGGAGUUGGGAGCCUCUCAGAAACAUCUGUACUUCCCUGCUUGUUUUUGUUGGUAGAAAUCAGAGAGUUUAUAUCAUUAAUUUCUUUAUUCCAAAAGCCAGGUAUUGGGAAGGGCACAGUUGUUUUCCUGAGAGCUCAUGGCUUUUACUCUUUUUGCCCAGAAGAAAAGGGUCCUAACGAAAAAGGGAAAGACAAGUAUUGUGUCCUCAGCUCAGAGUAAACUCCUCCAUGGUUUGGAUUCCUAUAAUGCAUUUUGUUUCUAACUCUGAUAUCUGGGAGAGAGAAGUGCUUGUAGUUGAGACUUCAUCAUCUCAGUCUUUCCACUAGUAUUAGUCGGAAAUACUAAUUUCAGGGAAUGAAAGUGACAGUGACCCUCUAGAUAUCUGAGUCAAUAGGUCUGAUUACCUUGCAGUUUUAGUUACUUUUAUUUCUUUCAUUUAUUUUUUAAUUUUUAAGCUAAUUUAAUACUUUUUUCGAUAUUUCUAUAUUUACAUUUCAAAUGUUAUUUCCUUUCCCAGUUUCCUGUCCAUAAGAGACCUAAACGUUCCCCUUCCUUUCUAUUUAAACCUCCCUUACUCCCCCUUGACAUUCCCUUGAACUGGGGGUCAAACCUAGGGAGGACAAAGGGCCUCUCCUUCCUUUGGUGCCCAACAAUGCCAUCCUCUGUUACAUAUGCAGUUGGAGCCAUAUGUCUGUCCAUGUACAGUCUUUGGAUAUUGGUUUAGUACCAGAAAGCUCUGGUUCAUUGGCAAUGUUGUUCUUAUGGGGUUGAAAGCACCUUCAACUCUUGUAAUCCUUUGUCAAAAUCUACCAACAACAUGUCCAUUUACAAUUUUCUGUUUUGCCACUAACAUUCACUUGUGUAUUUGACAUGCUCUAGCUGUGCCUCUCAGGAAAGAUCUAUAUCCAGUUCCUGGAACCAUGCACUUCUUAGCUUCAUUAAUCUUAUCCUAGUUUUGGUGGCUGAUCUAUCUAUCUAUGUAUAUAUGCUUUUGGUGGCUUCUACAGCUAUGAGGUUAGGUGGAAUUUUAACGUGGAUUCUGAACAGCUAGGUCAAGAACGGAGAAUCCACAAUAGACAAUGCCCAAGAGACUCCCUCCUGUUCUUAUGAACCUAUUGAAGUUGAGGUUUCACUGGACCUCAAGACAUUCCUCUCCCUGCCCAUCCUCCUGUACCUUAUGUUUGGCCUGAAGUAAGAAUCAUGUUAAAACAUCCAAAAGCCUGAAGUCUGGACCUGGGAACACAAGGAGGUAGAUAUUACAGAACUGAUAUCUAAUGGGACUACAGAACCGCAUUCUAUAGUCCAUGCUUUCCUUUGAUUUACUAAUGUCAGGGAUUUUUUUGCAUAAAAUAAAAAUUUGGGAGUUUAUCAUUUGAAGUAGGUACACAAUAUUUACACUGUAACAUUCACUCUAUAGCUUGGCCCCCUUUGUGGCCAAAAUCAUUGCAAAAACUAGAAUUGGAAAACGGAAUUUUUGAGUACAGAUUCAGGAAUAUAUAUAUAAGGUCCCCUAUCAAGCAAUGAACAAUAAGAAAGUGAAAUACAAUAUUCAGUCAAUUAAAGGUCUCUAGGAAAAAUAUUGGCCUUUGGGAAACAGAGAAAACCUAGGAAAUUGAACUGUAUGUCACAGGAAAGAACCUGGGAAUAAAAAUAUUAUCCAGAAGAUGCUCCUCCACUCCAUGUUCUUAAAUCUUUUCUACCCAUGCCAAGCCCCUGACUAACUUUCUCCAUUCAGAGCAUGUAACCACUGAUGAAGCAAAGAGAAGUCUCUAGCUUUAGAGAGAUGGAGUAAGUAAAGGUUUCCACUGUGUCACAGGAGACACUCCUGGAACGGGCACCCUCGAAUCUGGAUAAUGUAAGGAAAGCUGUUUAUAGGUAGGCCAUGGCACGUCUCAGUGACAUCAUCAUUAGGCACUCCCUGAUAAAUCUCUUGUAACCUGCAAAGCCAUAGCUUCUUCUGUGAUGUCACAACUGUUCUCGUGACUGCAACUCCUUCUCAGAUAUUCCUUCAGUACCUCUAGGGUUUACUACUUGGCCUGUAAUUCAGAGUAAACAGCCAUUUGGGAGUGAGAACAAGAGGAUGAAGAGAUCAGAGAUGGGGAGAAGGAAGCUGGCCUCCUGUCUUGGUAUAAACAAUGAAGAAAUACGUGGUCCAUGGGAAAGCUCUGAGUCCUUGGUAGGGUUUUAAUGAGUUUUCUGAAGAGAUAGCCUUGAUCUGAGCCUUCCACAUAUGGGAAUCAGGAGCUGGGAGCCUCUCAGAAACCUCUGGACUUCCCUGUUCUUAUGGUUCCUGGAAGUCAGAGAGUUUAUAUUAUUCAUUUCUUUAUUUCAAAUGCCAAGUGUUGGGAAGGGCACACUUGUUUUCCUGAGAUCUCAUGGCCUUUAUUCUUUUUGUCAAAAAAUAAAUGUCCUGAGGAAGAAGAGAUGGACAAGUAUUGUGUCCUCAGCUCAGAGUAAACUCCUCCAUGCUUUGGAUACCUAUGGUGCAGUUUGUGUCUGACACUGGUAUCUGGGAGAGAGAAGUGCUUCUGGUUGAGGCUUCAUCAUCUCAGACUUUCCACUAGUAUUACUCUGACUACCACUUUAGAUAUCCGAGUCAAUAGGUGUGACUAGUUGUCAGUUUUCUUUUCUUUUAUAUAUUUCAUUUUUUUUUCCGGAGCUGGGGACCGAACCCAGGGCCUUGCACUCCCUAGGCAAGCGCUCUACCACUGAGCUAAAUCCCCAACCCCUUAUAUAUUUCAUUUUUUAUUUUUUAGCAAAAUUUAUUGUUUUUUUUAACUGGAUGUUUCUAUAUUUACAUAAAAUAUUAUUUCCUUUCCCAGUUUCCUGCCCAUAAGUUCCCUACCCGUUCCCUUCCCCUUCUUCUCUAACCCCCUGUUCUGCCCCUUGACCUUUCCUUGAACUUGGAGACAACCCUAGGGAGGACCAAGGGCUUCUACUUCCAUUUUGCCCAACAAGGCCAUCCUCUGUCACAUACGAAUUUGGAGCCAUAGGUAUGUCCACGUACAUUCUUUGAUUAGUGGUCUAGUACCAGAAAACAUUGGUUCAUUUGCAUUGUUUUUCUUAUGGGGUUGUAAGCCCCUUCAACUCUUGAAUCCUUUGUCAAAAUCUACCAACUAGAGGAAUUUUUUCAGUUCACUGGUUUGCCACUAGCAUUCACUUCUGUAUUUGACAUGCUGUAGCUUUGUCUCUCAGGAAAGACCUAAAUCCGGUUCCUGGCAAAAUGCACCUCUUACCUUCAUCACUCUUAUCUAGUUUUGGUGGCUGAUGUACAUAUAUAAUUUUGAUGGCUUCUACAGUUAUGAAGUAAGGUGGAAUUUAAAACAUGAAUUCUGGGCAACUAGGUCAAGAAUGUAGAAUCCACAAUAGACAAUGCCAAAUAGACUCCCUCCUGUUCUUACGAACCUACUGAAGUUGAGGUUUCACUGGACCUCAAGCCAUUCCUUUCCCUGCCCAUCCUCCUGUAUCUUAUAUUUGGCCUGAAGAAAGAAUCAUGGUGAAACAUCCAAAACACUCGAAUCUGGCCCUGCGAGCACAGGAAGGUAGAUAUUGCAGACCUGAUAUCUAAAGUAUAUAGAGAAUUGAAUUCUAUACUCCACGUUGUCAUUUUCUUUUCUGAUGUUUGGUAAUUUUUAGAUAAAAUAAGGAUUUAGGAGUUAAUCAUUUGAAGUAGGUACACAAUACUUACACUGUUAAACUCACUCAAUAGCUGGAUCCCCUUUGCUGCCAAAAUCAUUGCACAAAAUGGAAUUGGAAAACAGAAAUUUUGAGUACACAUUCAGGAAUAUUUAUAAAGUCCCCUAUUAAGGAAUGUACAAUUAGAAAAUGCAAUACAAUAUUCACUCAAUUAAGGUUUGUAGGGAAAAUCCUGGCCUUUGGGAAACAGAGAAAACCUUGAAAAUUGAACGGUAUAUCACAGGAAAGAACCGGGAAUAAAAUUAUUAUCUAGAAAAAUCUCCUACAUUCCAUGUUCCUAAAUCUUUUCUACCCAUGCCAAGCCCCUGACUAACUUUCUCCAUUCAGAGCAUGUAACCACGGAUGAAGCAAAGAGAAGUCUGUAGCUUUAGAGAGAUGGAGUACAUAAAAUUUUCACUGUGUCACAGGAGACGGAAACGGCACCCUUGAAUCUGGUCAAUGUAUGGAAAGCUGUUUAGUAGGUGGGUCAUGGCAGAUCUCAGUGACAUCAUCAUUAGGCCCUCCCUGAUAAAUCUCUUAUAACCUGGAGAGAUGUCACAAAUGUUGUCAUGACUGCAACUGCCUCUCAGAUGUUCCUUCAGUACCUCUAGGGUUUACUAAUUGGCCUGUAAUUCAGGGUAAACAGCCAUUGGGGGAGUGAGAACAAAGAGGAUGAAGAGAUCAGAGAUGGGGAGAAGGAAGCUGGCUUUCUGCCUUGGUAUUAAAAAAAGGGAGAAAUAUGUGGUCCAUGGGAAAGCUCAGUGAGUCCUUCCUAGGGGUUGAGUGGGAUCACUUAAGAGAUAGCCUUGAUCUGAGCCUUCCACAUAUGGGAAUCAGGAGCUGAGAGCCUCUCAGAAGCAUCUGGACUUCCUUGUUCUUAUGGUUCCUGGAAGUCAGAGAGUUUAUAUCAUUCAUUUCUUUAUUCCAAAAGCCAAGUUUUGGGAAGGGCACAGUUGUUUUCCUGAGAGCUCAUGGCCUUUAUUCCUUUUGUCCAAAAGAAAAAGGUUCUAAGGAAGAUAGGAUGGACAAUAUUGUGUCCUCAGCUCAGAGUAAACUCAUCCAUGCUUUGGAUCCCUAUAGUGCAGUUUGUGUCUGACUCUGAUAUCUGGGAGAGAGAAGUGCUUCUAUUUGAGACUUCAUCAUCUCUGUCUUUCCACUAGUAUGACUCUGAACACCACUUUAGAUUUCCGAGUCAAUAGGUGUGAUUAGUUGCCAGUUUUCUUUUCUUUUAUAUCUUUCUUUUUUUUUUUUUUUAGCAAAUUUUAGUGCUUUUUAAAACUGGAUGUUUCUAUAUUUACAUUUAAAAUGUGAUUUCCUUUCCCAGUUUCCUGCCCAUAAGAUCCCUACCUAUGGGCUGGAGAGAUGGCUCAGCGGUUAAGAGCACCGACUCCUCUUCUUGAGGUACUGAGUUCAAUUCCUAGCAACCACAUGGUGGCUCACAACCAUCUGUAAUGAGAUCUGAUGCCCUCUUCUGGUGUGUCUGAAGACAGCUAUAGUGUACUGAUAUACAUUAAAUAAAUAUUUAAAAAAAAAAGAUCCCUACCUAUUCAGUAUCCCUUCUUCUCUAACCCCCCUUACUGUGCCUUCAAAUUCCCUUGAACUGGAAGUCAAACCUAGGGAGGACCAAGGGCUUCAACUUCCAUCGGUGCCCAACAAUGCCAUCCUCUGCCACAUAUGCAGUUGGAGCCAUAGGUCUGUCCAUGUAUAGUCUUUGAAUAUUGGAUUAGUACCAGGAAGCUCUGGUUCAUUGGCAAUGUUGUUCUUAUGGGGUUGAAAGCUCCUUCAGCUCUUGUAAUCCUUUCUCAAAUUCCACCAAGAGGUCUGUUUUCAGUUCAGUGGUUUGCUGCUAGCAUUUACCUCUGUAUUUGACAUGCUCUACCCGUGUGUCUCAGGAUAGAUAUAUAUCUGAUUCCUGUCAACAUGCUCUUCUUAGCUUCACCAAUCUUAUCUAGUUUUGGUGGCUGAUAUACAUACAUCCAUAUAUGCAUCUUGGAUAAUUUGAGCUUUUGGGCCAAUAUUCACUUUUGGUGACUGCAUUCUAUGUGAGUUUUUCUGUGAUUGGGUUGCCUCACUCAGGAUGAUAUUUUCUAGUUCAAUCCAUUUUUCUAUGAAUUACUUGAAAUCAUUUUUUUGAUAGCUGAGUAGUACCCAAUUGUGUAGAUAUACCACAUUUUCUGUAUCCAUUCCCCAUAAUUGUCAUCUGGGUUCUUUCCAGCUUAUGGGUAUUAUAAAUAAGGUGCUAUGAACAUAGUUGAGCAUGUGUCUUUGUUGUAUGUUGGAGCAUCUUUUCUGUAUAUGCUCAGGAGGGGUAUGGCUGAGUCCUCAGUUAGUGCAAUGUCCAAUUUUCUGAGGAACCUGCAGACUGAUUUCCAGAGUGGUUGUACCAGUUUGUAAUCCCACCAAAAAGGAGUGUCCCUCUUUCUCUACAUCCUUAUCAGCUCUGCUGUCUCCUGUCUCUUUAUUUCAGCCAUUCUGACUUGUGUGAGGUGGAAUCUCAGGGUUGUUUUCAUUUACAUUUCCUUGAUGACUAAGAAUGUUGAACAUUUCUUUAGGUGCUUCUCAAAUACGUGAUUUUUCUCAGUUGAGAAAUCUUUGUUUAGUUCUGUACCAUAAUUCUAAUAGGGUUAUUUGUCUCUCUGAAGUCUAACUUCUUGAGUUCUUUGUAUGUAUUGGUAAUAGCUCUGUAUUAGAUGUAGGAUUGGUAUAGACCCUUUCCAAAUUUGUUUCUUGCUGUUUUGUCCUAAUGACAGUGUCCUUUGGCAGGCAUUUUUCUACUACAGUGAAGAACUGUCAGUUAGUGAACUAGAGCAGGGACUGGCUCUUCCUGACUUCCCUACUUGUCCUGAACAGUAAUUGGGGAAACUAAACAAUCAUGUUCUACUCCUACAAGGCAUGUGUAUCUACAGUCGUGGGUCUAGAGAGACCUACCCAUGAUUCUGGGCAUCUGAACAUCAACUGUAUGCUGAUGGAGUUUGUAGUUUUCAUCCUGGCUUCUGUAACUACAGGCUAUGGUGUUCUGAAGCCAAAUUACACCAUGUGCAGCUGUGAAUAGGCUUGAGGACGCUGUCUCCUUGGAUUUCUGAAGCAUUGCUAAGGGAUCCAGAGGAAAUCAGCACCCUCUACUCAACAGAUCUCUGGGAAUGCUGACAUUCUUGCUUCAUCUCUCUAUGAAGCUAGGUCAAAUGAUCACCUGUCAGGGUCUGCUGUGAAGGCAUCAUGCCAACCUUCCACCGUCAAUGAGCAAGUACAGCAGAUUAAGAAGUUGGAGAAACUGACUAAUGAGCUCCCGAAGAUGACCUGUGUGUUGGGUAAACUCCCAGGAAUACUGACCCUUUGCACCAACAGCAUUUGGACAAAAGAUAGCCAUUAUGCCCACUUCUUUGUUGACUGUCCUGACCCCUCUGUGUUAACCUCAGUUUUCUAACAUCACAGGAAACUGUAAUUGUAAUGUCGUCAUGCACAAACUAAUUUUCUUAUGUGCCUCUCAGAGUUAAACAUGAAGACAGGAUAGGAGUGUGAUGGGAAGCUAUUUCAUUUCUCAGAUAAGCAGAAGCUUUGAUUGGAAUAACAGUCUUGGAAUAUGGCAAGUAAUGUGUGAGCUCUCUUCCUGGACAGAGAAUGCAUUUUCUGUCUUCAGAGGAACAGAGAGCUGGUCAGCUUCAGAAGCACAGUAACUUAAACUUAGAUAAGUAAACUUUCAUUUAUUUAUUUUAAAGAUUUAUUUGAUUUGAUUUAUGUGCAUAUUUUGUAACUGUCAGACACAACAGAAGAGGGCAUUAGAUGCCAUUAUAGAUGGUUGUAUGCCAUGAUGUGUUUGCUGGGAAUUGAACUCAGGACUAUGGAAAAGCAGUUAGUGCUCUUAAAUGCUGAAUCAUCUUACCAGACUAACCUACUGUUGAUGAUGGUGGUGGUGGUGGUGGUGAUGAUGAUGAUGAUGAUGAUGAUGAUGAUGAUGAUGAUACCACAACUCCAAAUAGAUCAAGACUUACCCUCCUGCAAUGGUCUUCCCCCUCCCCUGUCUCAAAAAGAACCUACAAUAAAGAAGACACCAUCACAGCUGCCCAUUUUCCCCAGCACUAAAUAAAGAAAAGUUUUACAUUGUCUUGGUUAUGGAGAUUCUCUUGUUCACUGGGCUCAUAGCUUCAGACCUGAAGCCAGGUAGACUAUGGAAAAUGGAGCUCCUUUUGGAGGAAGCUGCUUACCUUGGAGGAACUGGGAAACAGUGAGCAAGAGUAAGAUGUUGGUCCACCACCUUAUCCCUUGCUGAGAACAAAGUUUCCUCUUCACAGCCUGAGAACUGGGUAAGGAGGGUAAGCUGGCAUGGCUAACAAGCCAAUCCAGUUUUCCAUUGGGUAUAGAGGGGGAGCAUUUCAUUGACUAUGCUGAAUGUAUCUCCUGUCCACUGUGUUCUAAUCCCAUGCAAGGAAAGUUUGGUUGAUUUUGUCUGUCCUGUGUCCCAACAAGAGUCUUUCACAUUCUGAAUGCUGUUUCUUCACUGAUAUGAACCUUGAGAGAACGGAGGGAGCCAAGGAAAGCCACAGACAACAUUCUACAUUCUAGAAAAUCAAGGCCUUCUCAUAAAAAACACUUCCUUGUAGCUGUGAAUUCAGCAGGGAGGCAAAUUACAACCAAUGUCUGAUAAUGCAGCUGAUAUCUGGUAUACAGGCCUGUCGACUAACUAUUCCAUGGGGAGAAAGAAAGCAUCAAAAAUUAGCAUGAGGGGUUGGAGAUUUAGCUCAGUGGUAGAGUGCUUGCCUAGCAAGCACAAGGCCCUGGGUUUGGUCCCCAGCUCUGAAAAAAAGAUAAAAGAAAAAAAUUAGCAUGAGAUACAAAAAAAAGACUUAAAAAUGAGUCAGAACUCUGUCACGUGUAGUAAGUGGUCCCAGUGAGGGUUACAAAUAACAUGAAGGGUAUUUGUUUGAGCAACAGUUACUCUGCUGAAGAACUCAAAUGUUCAUUUGUGCUUGAAAAUCUGUCACAGAAGACUGUAUUGAUAUCAUACACUAGUCCAGAGAGACCAUAACCAAAAGUAUAUUAUUCCUUCUGUAGUACAGGGUUGAAACUACUUCACAUCACACAUUUCUAUGUUCUACACAGAUGAAAGCAUUCCCUAAAUCUUUGUCUUAGUAAUUUGGUUUUAUUUUUCAUUUGGAAAAUGGCUGAGUAUUCUUCAGUUCCACACCUGAACUGAAGUGACUGUUCCUCAGACUGUAUACGUAGAGGACAUCUGAGUAGUAGUUGACAUUUUUAGCCAGGUUAGUCUCCCCAUGGAUCUGUUUGGGCCUGAAUAAGCAUGCAUAGACAUAUUUUAGCUAAGGGAAUCAUGUAAUAGACAAAACAUUACAGAAUCAGUCUGCUGUAAAUAUUUUUCUUUUACACAGGUCAAGGACUGUGUAUCAAAGGCUGUGUAUCAAAGGUUGUAGAUAAUUGCACCAUCCCUAGAUGAUGAUAUAUCAAGAAGAAUUCCUUAGGGCUACACAGAUCGAUCUAAGUAUCCCCACACAAUUCUAACCCAGGAGGGACAAGAAAUCACUUCACGUGGAAACUUACAAUAAUCUGAUGCUAUGGUAUGUGAACUGUUAAUAGAUAACGAAAAACCACCUAAAAAGCACAUGCAAAUAUACAAGAUGCUAUUCAAAAAUUAUCCAGAGGCAGUUUGCAACCUACAUUUAGCACAAAGAGGUUGAUUCCCAACUUCACAGAUUCUGAUCAGAACCAUUGAGUAUUAAGAAAUCUAUAUUAGAACUCACAUGCGUAUCACAUGUCUGUGUAACUAGGUAGUCACAGCGAACAUGACAUUCGGGAAGCAUAGCCUGAACUUGCCAAGAAUGGAGGGAGUGCAUUUAGCUGUUGAAGUCUGGGCAUGAAACUCAAAUGUCCAAAAUACCAGCUAGAUAUCAUUUACAGAACAAUAAAUACUUGAUGAGUUUUGGGACAAAAUUCGAAUCUAAAGACUCCAAAAAUUAUUUAUCAUUCCACUCUGAAUCCCUAUGGAGAGAUUAAUGGUGGAUAUUAUGAAUUUAGUCUGUACCCCAGAGUUAUAAGAAAAUGGUGCAAUUUGAAGUGAUCAGAUAUGUUAAAGAGGCAUUCAAAACAAAGGAGGUCAUGCUAUCUUUGAACAGGUUUGCUUCUCAAACAUGUAGCAUGAGUUACUGUGAAUGACCUAGACACACACACACACACACACACACACACACACACACACACACACACGCACAUAUCCUACAAAUAAUUGACUUGCUCUGUGCUGUGUGUGGCAUGUUGGAUUUAUCCAAGAUAUGAGGUGUAUACUCCACAAGUAAGUUAAACCCAAAGUCAAUGAAAAAUUUAGAAUUCCUCUUCCUUUCUUGAGAAAGCAUUCUGUGCAUGAGUAAUGCUUACAUUUUAAAGUUUAAGAGGAAUGACUUAAAAACAGUAACAACUGAAUCCCACUUUGAAAACAACAUUUCAGAGAUGUCUAGUGAUUCAAUUUUGAUUUUAUCAACCUGCAGUUGCUCAGUUCUCAUGAUUGGAGGAUUGAACCAGGUCAUUACUAGACAUAACUCUGUAGGGACAGUAAGAGCUUCAACAAUUCUUCAAGUUGAAAAACCUAAGAAACCGUACUGGCAACAGUUUAAUUCAAAAGGGAGAAACUUGUGCUUGGGUAAAUCCAGUACCUAAGACUGAGCAGCUGGUUCAAAGCCAAGGAGAAACAUUGUAUCUAAAUAAGGACUUCCUGAUGCAGAACAUGUUACUAAAAUGAAGAAAGCUAAGGGCUUCAGGAAAUAUGCAUGAGGAAGACUUUGAAUGGUAGAAAUUUUAUGCUAUUAAUUUAGUGGUACACUUUGAGAGGACGAAUUUUUUUUCUUUUUUCUUUUUUUCCGGAGCUGGGGACCGAACCCAGGGCCUUGCACUUGCUAGGCAAGCGAGAGGACGAAUUUUUAAAAUGUUUAUCUCCUUGGAAGUGAAAAUAUUUGAGCUGAGUAAAUGCUGUAGUCCAGGUAGGAAAGGGAAGUGAGUUUCCAUUCAGACAUUGGAAUUCCCUUCACACUGAACAUGAACAUGAGAGGGUUUCAAAGAAGUGUUGAAGCACAUCAAAAUACUGAUGGGCAUCCAGGAGGAGUCUCAGAGGGUUAAUUCUUUCUUGUUCUGAGGGAUUUUCAAGAUUCUUAUUGAAAAUCAGUCAAGAGAAAUUCAAAAUCUAGAAACCAAAUUCUGUACAUGUUUCAUUUUAGCCUUGGAAGCCCUUGACCUGUAAAGAACCCAAAGAUGCAUAGCUAGAUUCAUCUUUAAAACUGUAUUACAAUUGGUGACUGACUGCCUUCCCGCUAUGUUCCCAAGGCCAGCCACAGGGUAUGACUGUGGUGUUAAUCUUCAACAAGAGAAUGCUGCUUAACUUAAUUACUGUGUUUUGUUUUUGGUUUGAGUUUUGUUUUCUUCAGGUAUUAACUUUGUUUGUUUUGGUUGGAAGUUUUGUUAUUCAUUCUUUAUUAAUUUUUGUUCUUGUGGUGUAUUUGCAGUUCUGUUAAGGUCAUGCACUUUAUAUUAUGAUUGUAUCAUUUAAGCACUUUUUGAGAAAAGUUAAUAUAUUUUUUAAAGAAUAAAAUGUGUUUUUCAACUUAUAAGAAACUUGUUUUUUUAUGUGUAGUGUAGCCAUCCUGUAAUCCCAGAAACCAUAUGCAGAGAUAGAUCACUGAAACAUUCAGGGGCCUGGGGAUUGAUAAUUUGUUCACAACAAGCCAGAGGUAAAUAUGUGGAUUGGACUUUCAAUGUGGCUAGUGUGGCCUACUGUGGAUACCAAUUUCAUGAUGGAAAAGGUAUCCAUGAUGCAUCCUUGUGGUCCUAUAUUUAGGUACUCCUAAAAUAUAGUACUCUAGGGAUGAUCAUAUAGAACAAACUAGUGAGAAACUCAAUAGUUUUGCUCUAAUGAUUCUCAGGAAAUGAAAACAUUCACCAAUGGAGUAAAAAUAGAAAUCAGGAAAACCAGACCUAUCUGUCUCUGGUUACCUGAAAUAUAGUCACAAUGGGAACCACAUGGGAGAGAUAAUGA
Rattus norvegicus (Norway rat) is the source of this 13406-nucleotide non-coding RNA. NCBI's taxonomy places the organism in Eukaryota, Metazoa, Chordata, Mammalia, Rodentia, Muridae. The record is from RefSeq and is a predicted model, not a curated record.